GUCUGGUUAAUUCCGAUAACGAACGAGACUCUAGCCUAUUAAAUAGUUCGACGAUUUUCGAUAUGUCGUCGCAACUUCUUAGAGGGACGAGUGGCUUUUAGCCACACGAGAUUGAGCAAUAACAGGUCUGUGAUGCCCUUAGAUGUCCGGGGCCGCACGCGCGCUACACUGAAGGAAUCAGCGUGGAUACCCCCCUGGUCCGAAAGGAUUGGGAAACCCGUUGAAUCUCCUUCGUGCUAGGGAUUGGGGCUUGUAAUUCUUCCCCAUGAACGAGGAAUUCCCAGUAAGCGCGAGUCAUAAGCUCGCGUUGAUUACGUCCCUGCCCUUUGUA
RNAcentral lists this ribosomal RNA (331 nucleotides) under Limacina antarctica. RNAcentral describes it as "SSU rRNA". It matches the Rfam family "Eukaryotic small subunit ribosomal RNA", at positions 1313 to 1664 of the family's 1831-position model. Lineage: Eukaryota; Metazoa; Mollusca; Gastropoda; Pteropoda; Limacinidae. The record is from RNAcentral.